AUCACAGCCAUGACAGCCGUGGAGAGGGAGAAAGAAGACUGAUAGCAGAACAGGAGAUAUGGAGGAUCAGCCCAGUGCCUCUGAAACAGAUGCACUGGAUUAUGGUGAAGUCCUCUCCAUAUUCAACUCCAAUCCACUCGGUCUGCGCCUUGGGGUGUAGCUGCCAGCGUCUCCAUCCCAAACUGUCCAUGGUUUUCUUGUCCUCUGCCAGCUCCUGUAGAAACUUUCCCAAAACACGCACUGAUGCAAAUUGAUCAACAUGGAUGAAAGAGUUGGGUGGAGCCACAUCUUUGUAAUCACUGAUCGGUGGCCCCAAGACGACAGGUACUGCCCCGCUUUGGUAAGCAUUCCUCCACAGCUUCUCUGUGAUAUAAUCUUUAGCAAUUGAAUUCUCAAAGGCUAAAUAGAAGUAGCACUGAGAGAUUGUGGGUAAGAGUGUUUCAUC
Long non-coding RNA from Monopterus albus (swamp eel), 445 nucleotides. RefSeq lists it as uncharacterized. The transcript is spliced from 3 exons. NCBI's taxonomy places the organism in Eukaryota, Metazoa, Chordata, Actinopteri, Synbranchiformes, Synbranchidae. The record is from RefSeq and is a predicted model, not a curated record.